Molecule: non-coding RNA, 2026 nt
Organism: Monodelphis domestica (gray short-tailed opossum)
Lineage: Eukaryota; Metazoa; Chordata; Mammalia; Didelphimorphia; Didelphidae
Source: RefSeq, a predicted model, not a curated record
AGGUUUCCCUUCUCUCACAAACAGGCUUGGAAAGAGAGGCUCAGCAGAGAGAAGCUCCUUCCUCCCAGGCUUCAGGAAAGAAAGAGAGUGAAGUGACUGUUGCACUUUCAAAACUCUUCCUCCUCUGCCUGCAUUCCAGAAUCCUCUCUUCAGAGUUUCUAGCAUGUGCACAUUCGAGUCUCUUAAAGACAACCUUCAACUUCACUUUAACUCUGACUUUUAUUUCUAUAAUCCUAUUUCUACAGAAUCAGCCAGAGAUGGCUAUGUUGUCUCCCGGAGGCUACACCCAUGAAGCUGUUCUGAAUUCUCUCUCUACAUCAAAAUGGUAGUGGUAUAGAUAUUACUCAGUAUGUAUAAAGAAUAUAUACAUUUCUGAGUUCUCCAUAAGGUUGAUGAAUCAACAACAACAAAAACAACAAAACAUUUAUAGGAUGCUUACUGUGUGUCUGGCAUACUGCUAAGCAAUUGGGGUACAAAUAAAAAAGCUAGAUAAUCCUUCACCUCAAACAUCUUAUAUUCUUAUAUUCUUCACCUCAAACAUCUUAUAUUCUUAUUCUCUCUCUCUCUCUCUCAACUACAUGAAACUUGAGAGACACCUCAUUAUAGGCAGUGAACAUACCAUUUUAGGAGGUAAAUGAUGAGGGGGAUUCUGUGGAAAGCUCAUAACAUAUUAGAAAUGAGACUUUUCUCUACAAAUUUUAUUACCUUUUGGGAAAAGUGUCUCCCUUAAGUGACUGAUGAAAACUAUCCAUAUUACACAUUACUAGACUCUAGCUGAACUGUGAAGAAAUAUAUCCUCAUCAUUCAGUCUGAAAAGUUGAGUUCUCAAUUCCUUUUGCCUGAGAGCAUGAAGCUACAUGGGAUUCAGUUAAUUAAUAAACUAAAUCUACCCUUUUCUAAAAAUCCCCUGAAUAUUCCUUCAUGGUUUGAUAUACUCUUUGGAAUUUGACUAAAGUUUAAGGGAGAUAUGACUGUGAUUUAAAUAGCUUAGUAGCAAUAGCAGAUAUAACAACUGAAGACCAUAUUAGGUUCCAAAUCAGCUGUCUAUUCAUUGUUUUUAUAAUUCUUCAUUCAUUUCCAGUUUAUUUUCUAGUCCUCUAGUGUGAUCCUCAAUUUAUAAGUCCUCUCUGAGCAAAUCUCCUUUUAAUUGUCCAUGUGGAGGUAUGAAUGUCUAGUCACCUUAUCUCUGGGGCUGCAGUGGCAAUGAGAUAGGAGGAUCUAGAUCUGCCAGAGGAGAGAUCCCCACACCUUCAUCUGGGCCAUACCACAGAUAUAUCAAUGGAAAGGCACUAUUUCAAUAAUUUUUGGAAUGCACUCUUUAUGAGCCCAAAGAACUCAGGAGACCUAGGUCAGAUUAUUUAGAGGAAAAAGGAAGCAUCACCACCAAAGGGGUGACAGGAUAAGAUAUAUGGAAUUUUAGAGAUGGAACAAACUUUAGUCCAAACCAAACUCACAAAAGGUUAAUUUCUCCCCUCUACGUCAUGGAUGAAUUAAAAGUCUUGAUUUUCAAUAGAAUGCAAGUUUCUUGAGGGCAAAGGAUUUUUAUUUUAUUUUGGCUUUGGUUUUGUAUCUUCAUUGUGUACCCACUUUUUGCACAUUUUUACAUAAACCUCUCCUUCCUCCCCUCAUUUCUUUUACCUCUUUCUCAAAUAGGGAAUAACUUUGGAGUAGGGAACCCCUAUUGAGUAAAUUCUCCCUACUACUGAUCAUCUUCAACUGCUCAAGAAUUCACAGGCUUAGAAAUUUGUAUAGAGGUUCCAAGAGAUUCUAUGAUUAAUCCAAGGUCAUAGAUUCAUGAGGUGGUUAAUUCAAUAUUUGAUCCAGGGUCUUCCGGACACUAAAAUAAUUUGUUUAUCUAAUUCUCUACUCCUUUUCAAAGCAUAGAAAAUGUGUUUUACAAAUGUUUGUUGAAGUGACUUAUUGCCUCUCCCUUCUCAUUGCAUUUUAUUUUGUGCCUUGUAACUGAGUUUCUAACAUCAACAACAAAAAAAAUGUAUUUCUGAAAUGUAUUUUCUUCAUUAAAAUA